AUAAUAUAUAAUAUAGACCCGUCAAGUUUUAGGAUAGCAAAAAAAUCGUAGGGUUUGGUGUAGAGCUCUACAGCGCUACACGAAGCGUGAAAUCUUACACAGCUGUUAUGUAGAUCAAUACCAGAAGUAAACCAGGGUUGAAAAAUUAUGUUGCCAUGACAACGGAAUUUUCCGACUGGUGUAUUUUCUGGAUAAAAAAUGCUGAGCCAUUGUUUCCGAAAAAAAAUGCUGAACCAUUGUUUCCGAAAAAAAAUGCUGAACCGUUGUUUCCGAAACAAAUGCUGAAC
Non-coding RNA from Paramuricea clavata, 287 nucleotides. The record is from the annotation of a GenBank genome assembly. NCBI's taxonomy places the organism in Eukaryota, Metazoa, Cnidaria, Anthozoa, Malacalcyonacea, Plexauridae.